GGAAGGAUCAUUGUCGG
RNAcentral lists this ribosomal RNA (17 nucleotides) under Echinodorus osiris. RNAcentral's name for it is "partial 18S ribosomal RNA". The record is from RNAcentral. Lineage: Eukaryota; Viridiplantae; Streptophyta; Magnoliopsida; Alismatales; Alismataceae. RNAcentral also lists the same sequence under 7 other names.